AUUGAACGCUGGCGGCAGGCCUAACACAUGCAAGUCGAGCGGAUGAAGGGAGCUUGCUCCUGGAUUCAGCGUCGGACGGGUGAGUAAUGCCUAGGAAUCUGCCUGGUAGUGGGUUAUAACGUCCGGAAACGGGCGCUAAUACCGCAUACUUCCUGAGGCAGCAAGUGGGGGAUCUUCGGACCUCACGCUAUCAUAUGAGCCUAGGUCGGAUUAGCUAGUUUGUGGGUUAAGGCCUGCCAAGGCGACGAUCCGUAACUGGGCUGAGAGGAUGAUCAGUCACACUGGAACUGAGACACGGUCCAGAGUCCUAAGGGAGGCAGCAGUCGGGAAUAUUGGACAAUGGGCGAAAGUAUGAUACAGCCAUGCCGCGUGUGUGAAGAAGGUCUUCGGAUUGUAAAGAACUUUAAGUUGGGAGGAAGGGCAGUAAGUUAAUACCUUGCUGUAUUGACGUUAACAACAGAAUAAGCACCGGCUAACUUCGUG
This 483-nucleotide ribosomal RNA is filed under the name uncultured bacterium. RNAcentral describes it as "partial 16S ribosomal RNA". It matches the Rfam family "Bacterial small subunit ribosomal RNA", at positions 30 to 507 of the family's 1533-position model. The record is from RNAcentral.